UGGGGAAUAUUGCACAAUGGGCGCAAGCCUGAUGCAGCCAUGCCGCGUGUAUGAAGAAGGCCUUCGGGUUGUAAAGUACUUUCAGCGGGGAGGAAGGGAGUAAAGUUAAUACCUUUGCUCAUUGACGUUACCCGCAGAAGAAGCACCGGCUAACUCCGUGCCAGCAGCCGCGGUAAUACGGAGGGUGCAAGCGUUAAUCGGAAUUACUGGGCGUAAAGCGCACGCAGGCGGUUUGUUAAGCCAGAUGUGAAAUCCCCGGGCUCAACCUGGGAACUGCAUCUGAUACUGGCAAGCUUGAGUCUCGUAGAGGGGGGUAGAAUUCCAGGUGUAGCGGUGAAAUGCGUAGAGAUCUGGAGGAAUACCGGUGGCGAAGGCGGCCCCCUGGACGAAGACUGACGCUCAGGUGCGAAAGCGUGGGGAGCAAACAGG
RNAcentral lists this ribosomal RNA (429 nucleotides) under Chloroflexota bacterium. RNAcentral describes it as "Chloroflexi bacterium partial 16S ribosomal RNA". It matches the Rfam family "Bacterial small subunit ribosomal RNA", at positions 355 to 776 of the family's 1533-position model. Lineage: Bacteria; Bacillati; Chloroflexota. The record is from RNAcentral.